AACGAACGCUGGCGGCAGGCUUAACACAUGCAAGUCGAGCGAGACCUUCGGGUCUAGCGGCGGACGGGUGAGUAACGCGUGGGAACGUGCCCUUCUCUACGGAAUAGCCCCGGGAAACUGGGAGUAAUACCGUUUACGCCCUUUGGGGGAAAGAUUUAUCGGAGAAGGAUCGGCCCGCGUUGGAUUAGGUAGUUGGUGGGGUAAUGGCCCACCAAGCCGACGAUCCAUAGCUGGUUUGAGAGGAUGAUCAGCCACACUGGGACUGAGACACGGCCCAGACUCCUACGGGAGGCAGCAGUGGGGAAUCUUAGACAAUGGGGGCAACCCUGAUCUAGCCAUGCCGCGUGAGUGAUGAAGGCCUUAGGGUUGUAAAGCUCUUUCAGCUGGGAAGAUAAUGACGGUACCAGCAGAAGAAGCCCCGGCUAACUCCGUG
Molecule: ribosomal RNA, 433 nt
Filed under: uncultured bacterium
Lineage: Bacteria
Description: partial 16S ribosomal RNA
Rfam family: Bacterial small subunit ribosomal RNA
Source: RNAcentral